This is a long non-coding RNA of Armigeres subalbatus, 544 nucleotides long. RefSeq lists it as uncharacterized. The transcript is spliced from 3 exons. Lineage: Eukaryota; Metazoa; Arthropoda; Insecta; Diptera; Culicidae. The record is from RefSeq and is a predicted model, not a curated record.
UACGCGCAUCGAAAAUUUGUAUCGCCGUGUUGAUCGCCUGAUCGAUAGUGUAUCACUUUGAAGUGCAUAUAAUUGAUUUCGUUUGCGGAGGCUUUAAACUCUUGGUGUGCAGUGCAGUGGGUGAUUUUAGAGGCUUAGGGCAAGCCCUAUAUAGCCGACAAAAUGUGCCUGCUCCAAGCAGUGAAAAGUAUGGAGUAGGGCGGUGAUUUGCAGUGAGAUCGGCCUUUCAUUCGCUGCAAAAAUUAUGUAGCGGCUUGUGAGAGCAACAUCCCAAGACGACGGCGAAUUGAAGUGGCUGGCUUGGAUCGCUGGCAGAGGCCAGCAAUCAUCUUGGGUCUGUCCGGACAGACAUGACGGUUUGCAGUCGCCGAGGGAUACAUUUUUACACUGACACACACACAUACUAAACUUUAGGUUAAGGAAAUUAAGCGUAAGUACUAAAAUACAUUUUUAUUGCAUGUAAAAUUUAUGUUUUUACUUCGAUACGGUGAUUCCGAAUAGUGUUAUUUUUUUGUUAAUGGGUCCACUAUACAGUUUGAACCUA